UCCCUCAUGGCUCAGAGGGUAAAAGAAUCUGUCUGCAAUGCAGAAGAUCCAGGUUUGAUCCCUGGGUUGGGAA
RNAcentral lists this transfer RNA (73 nucleotides) under Bos taurus (domestic cattle). It matches the Rfam family "tRNA". Rfam says of the family: Transfer RNA (tRNA) molecules are approximately 80 nucleotides in length. Their secondary structure includes four short double-helical elements and three loops (D, anti-codon, and T loops). Further hydrogen bonds mediate the characteristic L-shaped molecular structure. tRNAs have two regions of fundamental functional importance: the anti-codon, which is responsible for specific mRNA codon recognition, and the 3' end, to which the tRNAs corresponding amino acid is attached (by aminoacyl-tRNA synthetases). tRNAs cope with the degeneracy of the genetic code in two manners: having more than one tRNA (with a specific anti-codon) for a particular amino acid; and 'wobble' base-pairing, i.e. permitting non-standard base-pairing at the 3rd anti-codon position. The record is from Rfam by way of RNAcentral. RNAcentral also lists the same sequence under 4 other names. Lineage: Eukaryota; Metazoa; Chordata; Mammalia; Artiodactyla; Bovidae.